RNAcentral lists this ribosomal RNA (491 nucleotides) under uncultured bacterium. RNAcentral's name for it is "bacterial SSU rRNA". It matches the Rfam family "Bacterial small subunit ribosomal RNA", at positions 28 to 512 of the family's 1533-position model. The record is from RNAcentral.
GAUUAACGCUAGCGGCAGGCCUAAUACAUGCAAGUCGAACGGGAUUCAAAGUAGCAAUAUUUUGAUGAGAGUGGCGCACGGGUGAGUAACACGUAUGCAAUUUACCUUUAACUGGGGGAUAGCCCUCCGAAAGGAGGAUUAAUACCGCAUAAUAUAUUGAAAUGGCAUCAUUUUAAUAUUAAACCUACGGGGUUAAAGAUGAGCAUGCAUCCGAUUAGCUAGUUGGUGUGGUAACGGCUCACCAAGGCAACGAUCGGUAGGGGUCUGAGAGGAUGAUCCCCCACACUGGUACUGAGACACGGACCAGACUCCUACGGGAGGCAGCAGUAAGGAAUAUUGGACAAUGGAGGCAACUCUGAUCCAGCCAUGCCGCGUGAAGGAUUAAGGCCUAUGGGUUGUAAACUUCUUUUAGACGGGACAAAAACCCCCUUUUACGUGGUUAAAGGGUUGAUGGUACUGUCAGAAUAAGCAUCGGCUAACUUCGUGCCAGC